AAAUUCGCAGCUGCGUAAUGUGAACAAGAAUACAGAAUAAGGAUGAGUUUCGACUUUUAAGGUUGGUAUGCGCUUAAUCCUGCAAUGCCGUGUGUAGAAAAUUUUUAUCAGUUACGGAUCACGUGAUCUGAUAACUAGAUAAAAGGCAAAAAUUUUAUAAUUGAGAUUGAUAUCAUUCUAUAAUAGACAAGAUGAUCAAUCCGGUGUGUAGAAUUUUUUUUAAACGAAGUUGCAGAAAAUUAGCUGUAUAUUGCAUGCCUCCAAAAUU
RNAcentral lists this long non-coding RNA (268 nucleotides) under Ananas comosus (pineapple). RNAcentral describes it as "long non-coding RNA (ACOM_LNC029803)". Lineage: Eukaryota; Viridiplantae; Streptophyta; Magnoliopsida; Poales; Bromeliaceae. The record is from RNAcentral.